CCUACGGGCGGCAGCAGUGAGGAAUAUUGGUCAAUGGCCGUAAGGCUGAACCAGCCAAGUCGCGUGAAGGAAGAAGGACCUAUGGUUUGUAAACUUCUUUUAUAGGGGAAUAAAGGUAUCCAAGUGUGGAUAUUUGCAUGUACCCUAUGAAUAAGCACCGGCUAACUCCGUGCCAGCAGCCGCGGUAAUACGGAGGAUGCGAGCGUUAUCCGGAUUUAUUGGGUUUAAAGGGGGCGUAGGUUGUUUUUUGAGUCAGCGGUGAAAGUUUGUGGCUCAACCAUAAAAUUGCCGUUGAAACUGGAUGACUUGAGUGUGUUUGAGGUAGGCGGAAUGCGUGGUGUAGCGGUGAAAUGCAUAGAUAUCACGCAGAACUCCGAUUGCGAAGGCAGCUUACUGAGCCAUAACUGACACUGAGGCACGAAAGCGUGGGGAUCGAACAGGAUUAGAUACCCGAGUAGUC
RNAcentral lists this ribosomal RNA (460 nucleotides) under uncultured bacterium. RNAcentral describes it as "partial 16S ribosomal RNA". It matches the Rfam family "Bacterial small subunit ribosomal RNA", at positions 338 to 795 of the family's 1533-position model. The record is from RNAcentral.